This 598-nucleotide ribosomal RNA is filed under the name Trichoderma harzianum. Its description in RNAcentral is "eukaryotic LSU rRNA". It matches the Rfam family "Eukaryotic large subunit ribosomal RNA", at positions 36 to 657 of the family's 3401-position model. Lineage: Eukaryota; Fungi; Ascomycota; Sordariomycetes; Hypocreales; Hypocreaceae. The record is from RNAcentral.
AAGCAUAUCAAUAAGCGGAGGAAAAGAAACCAACAGGGAUUGCCCCAGUAACGGCGAGUGAAGCGGCAACAGCUCAAAUUUGAAAUCUGGUCCCUAGGGCCCGAGUUGUAAUUUGUAGAGGAUGCUUUUGGUGAGGUGCCGCCCGAGUUCCCUGGAACGGGACGCCACAGAGGGUGAGAGCCCCGUCUGGCUGGCCGCCGAGCCUCUGUAAAGCUCCUUCGACGAGUCGAGUAGUUUGGGAAUGCUGCUCAAAAUGGGAGGUAUAUGUCUUCUAAAGCUAAAUAUUGGCCAGAGACCGAUAGCGCACAAGUAGAGUGAUCGAAAGAUGAAAAGCACCUUGAAAAGAGGGUUAAAUAGUACGUGAAAUUGUUGAAAGGGAAGCGCUUGUGACCAGACUUGGGCGCGGCGGAUCAUCCGGGGUUCUCUCCGGUGCACUUCGCCGCGUCUAGGCCAGCAUCAGUUCGUCGCGGGGGAAAAAGGCUUCGGGAACGUGGCUCCUCCGGGAGUGUUAUAGCCCGUUGCAUAAUACCCUGCGGUGGACUGAGGACCGCGCAUCUGCAAGGAUGCUGGCGUAAUGGUCACCAGCGACCCGUCUGAA